Molecule: ribosomal RNA, 698 nt
Filed under: uncultured bacterium
Lineage: Bacteria
Description: bacterial SSU rRNA
Rfam family: Bacterial small subunit ribosomal RNA
Source: RNAcentral
AGUUUGAUCCUGGCUCAGAAUCAACGCUGGCGGCGUGCCUCAGACAUGCAAGUCGAACGCGAAAGUCCCCUUCGGGGGGCAAGUAGAGUGGCGCACGGGUGAGUAACACGUAGGUAAUCUACCUUCGGAUGGGGAAUAACAAUCGGAAACGGUUGCUAAUACCGCAUAAUGCAGCGGCACCUAAUGGUGACAGUUGUUAAAGCGGGGGAUCGAAAGACCUCGCGUCUGAAGAGGAGCCCGCGGCGGAUUAGCUAGUUGGUAGGGUAACGGCUUACCAAGGCUACGAUCCGUAACCGGCCUGAGAGGGCGGUCGGCCACACUGACACUGACAUACGGGUCAGACUCCUACGGGAGGCAGCAGUCGGGAAUUUUGGGCAAUGGGCGAAAGCCUGACCCAGCAACGCCGCGUGAAGGAUGAAAUCCCUCGGGAUGUAAACUUCGCAAGAACGGGAAGAAUAAGUCUGUGUAAAUAUCACAGAUGAUGACGGUACCGUUUGUAAGCUCCGGCUAACUCCGUGCCAGCAGCCGCGGUAAUACGGGGGGAGCAAGCGUUGUUCGGAUUUACUGGGCGUAAAGGGCGCGUAGGCGGCCACCGCAAGUCAAUUGUGAAAUCUCCGGGCUUAACUCGGAAAGGUCAACUGAUACUGCGGGGCUAGAGUGCGGAAGGGGCAACUGGAAUUCUCGGUGUAGCGGUGAAA